Peromyscus leucopus (white-footed mouse) is the source of this 6660-nucleotide long non-coding RNA. RefSeq lists it as uncharacterized. The transcript has 5 exons. The record is from RefSeq and is a predicted model, not a curated record. NCBI's taxonomy places the organism in Eukaryota, Metazoa, Chordata, Mammalia, Rodentia, Cricetidae.
AGGUGUCACUAUUACGCCACUGGGGAUACCUUGCAGUGGCCAGCCAUUGUGGUUUGUAAGCUUCACAGCUGGAUAGGACAAUUGAUUGCUUUUCUCCCUUGGCAGCUUGUAGACCUUCUAAUACCGUGAGAGCUAGUCCUCAGGGAGGAGGCCCUUCCAGGAAACAGAACUCAGCAGCAAGGCGGGCCGGUAGAGCAUUUGUGUAGCAUGCACAGAACAAGACCCACUGCCCCAGGAAUGAAUGGGCUCGAUGCCAAGGGGCACAAGAGCAACUCCAACUACCAGACGCUUCCUUCCAUCCGUGGAGCAGGGUGUGUCCUUGAACUGCUGGCCAGGUAUGAGUCACACAGAAGGACUGAUACACACAUGUCCAAGAGACACUAACAGUUGCCCGCCUCCUCUGAAUGUCAGGACCUCCUGGACCAAAAUUGCCCUUCCAGAUAGAACGUACACACUGCUUAGCCAGCUGAGGACCAGGGCCUGAGCUGGCCGGAUUAUUCUUCCUAAAGAAAGAAAACGAAGCAUCCUUUGCUCUUUUAUAUUUCCACGGCUCUGAAAUGAGACUGAUAUUCCAGCUUCAGACAGGCCCUCUAGUCUUCCAGGAGAGCCCUAAGAAUACCUCAGAUGCAUCUUCUGGUGGGUCACCUCCUAUAUCUUAGAGAAAAAGACAUGAAAAUGAGCUCAGGAUCAGCAAAAUCCCACUGUUCGGGGGUCAGUUUAUCAAAGCCCACAUCAUUUACCUCCUGUCCCCAUCAUGCCUCCGCCCCCCAAAGUCCAAGCCCCCUGCCUUUGGCCUCCCGUACCUAACUCCUGUUUCCAAGCAUGCUCCCAGCCCUCUAUUUCCAGCACCCUGCCUCCACUUUCCCAUCCACAGCUGCUUGCUCUCCUCUUCUGCUCCAGGCCUGUGACCAACUUCCUCUGCACACUAUAGCAGGUGGAUUUUCUUGGCAUCUCACUCGCACUGUGUUCUUCUGCCUGUGUCUUUGCAGAGGCCAGAUACCAGCUUCUCCCUGUCCCCUCUGUCCUCUACCUUUACCCCAUUCACAUCCCUGGGUCUCAAGAGCUUGGUGGUGGGCAGGGUCUGGCUGCCCCCCCCCCGCCCCCGGGCUACACGGGGACCCUUUUGCAUGGCCUCUGGCCUCUUGCACUGUUGUGGGUCCUCUUGCCGUCCUUUACAGGCUUAUGCGCUUGCCUUUAUUUCCUUACACAUCUUUAGGUGUCUGAAGUGAGGGCUGUGUCUCACUGUCCUCCUUUCAGGGGUCCCUACCCUGGGGUGACUCAGAACCAUAACCUGCGGUGGUUUACCUUGGUGAGGGCCGGCGCAGGUGGAGCGAGAGCACUAGGCCGGAAGAAUUUACUUGUCCUGGAUUUCCUGUUAGAGUAGCUCUAAUGGGUUUGGGGGGAGGUGGUCCACGUGCAUUGUGCUCUUCAGUCCGUCAGGUGUCAUCUAGAUUUGGCUAUGUUCCUGCUGUGGGGGGAGAAGAAGAACUCUGCUCUCGGCCGAAAGGUCGACAUUUUCCUUUUGCUGUUCGAUCCCUGGUGUGCGUUACACUGAACAGGUGCUGAGAUGGUGAAGACAGUCUUGUCCUCGUGGAGAGAAGAAAGGAUGCUUCAGGAGACGCAGCGACAGGCAUAGCAGAACAUGUCAUCUCAGAUGCGCUUUAUCACAUGGACACAGUUUAAACCAGAUCGCUGUCAAGGUUGCUGUCAGGGAGUUACCACUGGCUGAUUUAGGGGUUCAUAUCCCUAGUUCUUGGUGGCUGUUGUUUCUUUCGUACAAUGUGUUUUGGGCCCCUGAUGAGAUGAGUUUGGGGCUCCUCGGAGACAUAUGUAAUGCCGUAUGUUAAUGGUCAUCACUGGGAAGAGGUUGCUUCAUCUCGUAAGUAGAGGUCAGGGAUGCUGAGACAGCACAUGUUUCCCUGUAGCUGUUGUUCUAUGGAAUCAGUCCGGGGUGGCAGAAGGAUACCCGAAAUGCCACACUUCUUACUACAGUGACCCCUCAGCAGGUGACUAUGCCAGCUUCCUGGUCCAGUGUCAGCAGUACUAGUCGAAGACCCCCAGACUUGAGGUUUUGACUUUAGGCAGGCUACCACCCAUUCAUAAGGCAGCUUCUAACCCCUGGAGGACUCUAGCAGAAUGCCAAUGGCUUCGUGGAAAUGCACUCACACAUGCCAACAAGCCAUAUACACAUGCACACACAAAGAAGCACACAUAUGUAGAUCAUUCCGAACUGGAGUGUUCUCUCUCUCUCUCUCUCUCUCUCUCUCUCUCUCUCUCUCUCUCUCUCUCUCUCUCUCUCUCUCUCUUACUUAGGGCAAGGUCUUGGUGUAUAUCCCAACUGGACUGGAACUUGCUGUGAUCUUGUUUCCUGAUCGGCACUGAGAUCCUGAGCAUGGACCACUGUGCCUAGCUAGUACCUAUGUUGUCCACUACAUCUCCUCCUCCUCCUCCUCCUCCUCCUGCUUUUCUAAAGAUUUUUUAAAAAUGUGUGGGGGGGUGUUUUUCCUGCAUGUAUGUCUAUGUACCACCUAUGUGCCUGGUACCGCGAAGAUCAAAUGAGGGCAUCAGAGCCGAUGGAACUGGAGUUACAGACAGUUGUGAGCUGCCGCGUGGGUGUUGAGGAUCAAACCUUGGUCCUCUGGAAGAGCGGGCAGUUCUUUUAACUGCUGGACGGAACCGUCUCUCCAGUUCUGGGCUGCUUUCCUGCCCUGCACCUCUGUUUUGUUUUCUUAUGUUUCUUGCAGGUUCUACUGUUUGUAUCUGUCAUUUCCUUUAACGCUCCCUGCUGCUCCUGCCCAUGGCAGACCUGUGCCUACAGCAGAGAGCUCUCUGGUCUGGGGACUGGCAGGAAUAGAUGGCCUACGGGAGCCUGGACUACAGCAACUCCCUUCCGGGUGGUCCACAGCUGAUGGGACAGACACUCAUCCUGCGUGGCCCUCAGGAAACCCUAUGUGGAACUCGUGAGGGAUGACGAGGACUCUGACAAACCAGGCUUGCCCUCAAGUCCUGAGGGGACACAGUCACUUCUUUUCUGGCCACAGACCUGGAGCUUCCUGGAGGCCUGCUUUACCGGAAAAGCACUGGCCUCUCCAGGAGCCUGACCCUGGGAGGGCCAGACAGGACUGACCCUUGGGUCCCUGUCGUCUCUAAAUAGAGGAACUUAGGGACACCGCAGAGACACAUAAACUGGAUGUGGUGCUUGUCACUUGGAGUGGUCUCUCUGACUGAAGAAGUGAGCACAACUCUUUAUGACAGUGCUAAAAAAUCAGUGUUUGCAAAGGUUGCUAAAGAAACCCAAGGAGUGUCGAAUCUGAAAUAGCCCGUCUAGACACACUCCCACUGUCUGACCUUUGAUGCAUUUCUUAAUCCACCGACCUCGCCAGCAAAUUGGUGAGUAAGCAGCGACUCACUUUACACGCUGUCAUGAGGCUGACGAGGCCCAGGUCACUGUUAUAAAUUUCAUUCUGGCUGCUUCGAGGCGCGGCGGCCUUCGCAGCACAGCUCCCGUGUGGUUUCUGAGCUGUGAUGUGUGUCUGGGUCGCCAUGAACUAAUUUCAAGUCUGUUGCGUCCAAAAGCCACAGAGCUGCCGAAAAAAAAAAAAACAGAGCUCACUCUCAGCCAGCAGGACCCCAGAGUUUACAUAAAAUGAGGCGAGGAAGGCUGGAGACAGGCUCUGCUGAAAACCAAACAAAAAGCCGGUGAUGCUCACGUCCAGGCUGAGCCUCACCCUGGAGAAGGGGCCAGGGGCGCCUGCGCAGGUUUGCUUAGCAAAUAAAACCCUGGCUGCACUUGUGGGGCCCCGGAGCCCAGUGGCGGGGCCUCCCGCCUCGCCUGCCUUCCUCUCGCGCCUCUUUGGAACGCUGUCUGAGCAGCUGGGCUGCAGCCUAUACGCAGUGGGGCCCAGGGGCACGAGACCAGUUUGGCUCCAAACAGGCUUAACAAACAUUGACUUCAUAGAACUGGAGACAGGUUUACUGUGUUCCGAGCCUUACGGUUUGGGUUUUGGGAACUAGGAGGUUGGGCUUCUUGCUGGCUGGAGAGUUCUGAACUAGGGGGCUUGCCAGGUACCCUGUGACCACCUCAAGAGCAGGCAGAGAUGAUCAUGGGAGCAGGAGGCUGGAUUACCUAGCCAGGGUGGAGGUGACAAUUUGGAGGAAACAGGAUCCAUGGGAGGCCAGAAACUUCUGGCAAGAUUGGCAAGAGAAACAGAGACCAGUGAGGCCUCCUUCACAGGACUCCUGUGGUCAGAUUCCCUGGGGCAGACUCUGGCUCUGCGCUGGAAGCCAGCCACCUACUGGGAAGGAGGCAGCUUUGCUGCAGGGUGCUGGGAGCCUAAGCCUUCUUCCUGGAGCGGUGGCAGAGGCCCCAACCCGUCUAUCCACAGGGGAGAGAGCCCAUCACCAAGUUCUCACAGCCCUUGGACCAAAUGAGGAAGUGAAAGCCACACCGUGGGCCUGCACAGAGAGAUCUGGCAUCAGAUGCCCCAAGUGCCUUGCUAUGUCCGAGCCUGUCUGAGGGGCUGCGCAGAGUGUGCAGACACAGGAACACCCAGGAACCGCUUUCCUGACCCUCAGAGGGUGGUUUGGAUGGAGUCUUAGCCACAGGAGCCAUGGCGGAGAGACUUCAUUUGUGUUACCAGCCUCCCUUCUCCUCUCCUAAUUAACUCUUAAUGAAGCCGAUACUCAGAGCUUUGGGGUACACUUAGUAAAGCCCAAAUCAAAUCCUCAUAUGAGAUGAGUGGCCCCAUCUCAGCCACUGAGGCAGGGGAUGUGGCAAAGAAUCUUGGUGGCACCACAUGUGUGGUACUUCAUUUCAUUCUCAGGGAGAUCUCUCUCUCUCUCUCUCUCUCUCUCUCUCUCUCUCUCUCUCUCUCUCUCUCUCUCUCUCUCUCAGUGGAUUCUCCAUCCCCCAGAAGCAAAUUCUCCAUCCCCUAGAAGUAGAUUCUUCAGCCCCCAGAAGUGACUUCUCCAGCCCCCAGAUGUGACUUCUCCAGCCCUCAGGUCUGAUGAUACUUAAGAGUCUCCCAAAGUGCCUUCCCAUCUCCCAGAUGUGGCUCUUCCACUCCCUCCCCACUGAAAUGACCCCUGUAUCCCUCACUGUGAUUCUGCCAUCCUUCAGAAGUGACUCCUCUGUACUCCAGAUGUGGUUCCUUCAUCCCUCAGGGAUAACUCCUCCAUUCUCCAGACACAGUGUUCCUACCCCUCCAGAAGCUGCUCCUUUACCUCCUAGCCAUGGUGACUCCACUCCAAAGAUGUGGCUUUUCCAUCCCUAGACACGAGUCCUGGUCCAAGAGGACACCUCCUCUUUAAAAGAUUACAUUUAUUUAUUUAUUUAUUUAUUUAUUUAUUUAUUUAUUUAUUUAUUUAUUUAGUGUGUGUGUGUGUGUGUGUGUGUGUGUGUGUGUGCGCGCGCGGUGGAGAAGGGGAACCAUGCAUGCCACAUCACGCAUGGGGAGAUCUCUGGAUAGCUUGAGUGAGUCAGUUCUCUCCCUCUGCCAUCUGGGCUUGGGGGGUUGCACUCAGGUAGUCCAUUUUAUAAACAAGUGCCUUUACCCACUGAACCAUCCUGACGGUCUGGAACAGUCCUUUAGUGGAGCAGGUAAGCAAAUGCCUGUCACGAGCCCUGGACAGUGGCUCCUUUUCCUGGUGGCCUGGCAGCCUCCAGCAUCGGGGCAAAAGCUUGUAAGCUGAAAAAGUAGGAAGCUAUGGACAAUCUUAGGUGUGCUGAUGUGGGCCAGUGCCAUCACCUGAACCUGGUAGUCAAGGUAGUCAAGUAGAGGGAGGGUCUAUGGCACUGGACUUGCCUCAGUAUCCCUCAGUCCACCUAGGAUUUCAAAAACAGUCCAAGAGGGGUAUCAGAUUUCUUGGCAGCCAGAGUGUGUAGUGGUCAUUUAUGUGUAGAUGACCUCUGAGGAACAGUGUCUGAGGACCCUAGGCUUCACAUUGGAGGAGGUUGAUUAAACAUCAAAGAAACACUGUUGCUUUCUUCUCGUACCAGGAAAAUGGGACAUGGAUCAUGUUUUUGUGCUCCCCCAAAGGCCUGGAGAUACUAUAAUUCAGGCACCUGCUUUCUUAUUCGAGGACUUGAAGCAGACAAUUUGUAGGGAUAGCUUAGCAACUUGGGAUCCCCAACCUACAUCAAGUUACACAGACACAUACCUACCAAACAAAGCAAUUGGUCACUUGGCCACAACAGCUCCUAGAAUACCCAUGUAACCUCUAAUAACAUCUCCUUUGUGGCUAAACAUGUCCUGGAAUAUAACCUGAAAUUAGAGUCAGUGUGUUGAUCCAGUGUGGACUAUUUUUAGGUGCAUGCCUCCUAAGAGGACCUGUGUCCUCUGAGUAAACUUUUAGGGAACCCCUCACCCCCAUUUAGCGUCUCGUGGCUAUGCAUGGUUGUGCAUGCAUGUUACUGAAAUCAGAUGCAUUGUGGGAAAGGACCUGGGAAGUAGUGGAUAAAGGCUUACAUAACCCAAGUGCAUUCAUCAUGAGCGUAUCAGAGCACACACACCCCUCCCCAGCCCUGCCCCUAGCAACCACCCAUCUCUUCUCCCCCAAGAGAGUCCUGAAAAGUGACCUAGAGCUCACAGGAAAAUCUUUGCAUCUUAUGUACUCUUUACUUUCACUUUGCUUCCGAAUAAAACCCCUUGCCUCCUGGUU